This 255-nucleotide ribosomal RNA is filed under the name uncultured bacterium. Its description in RNAcentral is "partial 16S ribosomal RNA". It matches the Rfam family "Bacterial small subunit ribosomal RNA", at positions 524 to 776 of the family's 1533-position model. The record is from RNAcentral.
UACGGGGGGAGCAAGCGUUGUUCGGAUUUACUGGGCGUAAAGGGCGCGUAGGCGGCCACUGCAAGUCAAUUGUGAAAUCUCCGGGCUUAACUCGGAAAGGUCAACUGAUACUGCAGGGCUAGAGUGCAGAAGGGGCAACUGGAAUUCUCGGUGUAGCGGUGAAAUGCGUAGAUAUCGAGAGGAACACCUGCGGCGAAGGCGGGUUGCUGGGCUGACACUGACGCUGACAGCGCGAAAGCUAGGGGAGCGAACGGG